This 3889-nucleotide long non-coding RNA is filed under the name Musa acuminata (dwarf banana). RNAcentral's name for it is "long non-coding RNA (MACU_LNC003202)". Lineage: Eukaryota; Viridiplantae; Streptophyta; Magnoliopsida; Zingiberales; Musaceae. The record is from RNAcentral.
GCUCUGAAGUCAGAAAAGAACUUUGACAUGUCAAAUUCAAACUGCGGUGACUUGUUUAUAUGCUUUAACGCCAGCAAUAAUUUAGAGACUGUUGUUUUGCCCGAACAGCCAGAGGGAAAUGUUUGGCUUCGUUUGGUCGAUACCUCCCUUGCAUUUCCAGGAAUCUUUUCAAAUAGUUGUGAUCCAAAUGUUCAGAAGGCUGAAGGAUCAUCUUCUUAUGAACUGAAGCCUCAUAGUUGUGCCUUAUUUGAAGCCACUGUGGAUUGAACUUUGUGCCUUAUUGUCUUAUAUAACAGCAGGAGUUUCUUGCUGUAUCUAUUGUCUCCUGUUAUCAAUAAAAUGAAGUAUCCUUUCUGUUAGCACUGAAUAAGUGCAAAUGUUUCUAAACCAUUUUAUUUCGCAUGCUUGUUUUUGUACAGUCUCUUAAUGUAUGAUUUUUGCAAUACAUCUUAUGAUAUGUCCAUAUUUUUAUGUGUUACCACACAACCAACUAUUUUGUUAAGGCUCUUCUUUAUCAGUAGCAUAUUCCAAACUUCAGCUUUUAAUUCAAAGCGGCAUGGUUUUAUUCUGAAAUCUGAUUUUUGUUCACUUCCAAUGUUUGAUUCUUUUUCCCUUCUUGUUUGAACUUUCUUAAUUGUAUAUUUUGCAAGACAUGAUUCUUCCUUUCUCCAUCAUUGUGUUAUAUCAUCAUCCUCUUGCUGUAUAUUGAAUCAUCAUCUGGAUAGUUAAAUUUCGUUUGUCAAAAACCAUUAUAUGGCACUAGUUUUACUGUUAGAUUUGGUUUCCUAUUUGACAUGCUCAACCAAAGAUUAGGAGGAGCAACAGUGCAAUCAUAAUAACGAAAACAAGUAUUUAAACACCAAUGGAAACUGUUGUUUUACUAAUAGUCAUGAACCAUGGAGAAAGCUUUAUUCUACAUUGUAUUGGUAGUUCAAGCAUAACUCAGAUUAUGAGUUAGUUUCCACUUUAGAAGUAGAAGAAGUUAAAAGAAAUUUUAUUCAAGAAGAUAAUUAGGUCAUUAUGAUGGAAAACUUGGACCAUAUUAUGCCGAGACAACAUCAUAUAUGAGAUUCAGGAAACCUGGCCCAUACUUGGGAGUCCCUUGACUAAUCUGAGAAUACUAUGAAUUGACUAGAGAGCAAGUGUAACAGAGAAGACAUCCAGAUUAAAUACAGAAGAAUACCCCAUACGCAUAAUAUCUAUUCUAGAGAAGGCAGCUAAAUGGAUCUUCCACAAAACUAUAGUGUUGCCAAAUUUUUCUCAGGAUGUUGACUAAAUCUUGUCUAGUUGAUCAAUUAAAAGUGCCAAGCCAUAUAGUCCACAGAGUAAUCAGUUAAACCCACCAAGGCCAAUAAUAGUUACAGUCCAAAAUGAUUGUCUAAGGAUUUCAAGUGUCAAUAAAUCUGAACUACAAAGUUUGGCUCUAAUGGACUGUCAAUGCUCAUAAUGACAUAUUCAGCAGUUUAAAACUAAGCCUUGGUUUGGGACCCAUAAUCUACUGUUUAGAAACAAUUGGACAAGAUCAAAUAUAGCUCAAAAGUUUACUAACAGUGUCAACUAUUUGGAAUUCGAUGAAAAAUUAAAAAGUAAUUUUGUUGAAGCUAGAAGAAUAAAAGGCAACCCAGCAUUGUUGCAAACAAAAAUCUGAUGAUGUACUAAAUGUUACAAUUGUUACCAAGAAGCAACAAACUAAAAUAUCUCAUAACAUAACACAGUAUUUAUUGAAAAUGGGAUUGGUGCCGUCAUAAUGCCCUUCGUUUGCAAUUAUUCUGGAAGGUAUACGUUGGAUCUGGAUUUUGAUUCAGCAAAGGCUCCCUUUUAUCUAUCAUUUAUGCUGCAUUUGUGUUCUGAUGCUGGUGUUGUUGCCUCGGAGAUUAAAACGCACAGAAAGACAAGAUUUUGUGUGCCUGUGGGUUUUGGCCCAGGAUAUCCUGCGUCCUUGGGUGCUUCUGUUUCCGAUGAUGGAAUGGUCAAUUUCUCUUUGUUUUUGAGGAAUGCUGAGAGCGUUUUCCUCUGCCUCUAUGAAGGGAAAACAGAGGUUCCAUCUUUAGAGAUCGAACUGGAUCCUUAUGUCAAUCGUACAGGUGAUAUCUGGCACGUCUCGAUGGAGAGCAUCGUGGACUAUGUGAGCUACGGUUAUCGUUGCAAAGGACCAGUAGAUAAAGAGGUGGAUUCAAUAUGCAGCAUGUGCUGUUGGAUCCGUAUGCCAAAAUGGUUCGAAAUCUUCUUUCUGUUCAGAGUGAUACAAUGACUCCAACCAAGUAUCUUGGUUCUUUGGAAAUAGAACCUAUAUUUGACUGGAGUGGUGAUGUUCAUCCGCGGUUGCCAACAGAGAAGCUCGUGGUUUACAGAUUAAAUGUGGGGCAGUUCACAAGAGAUAACUCGAUCGGUCUCCCAGAAGAUGUUGCUGGGACUUUCGGUGGUGUGAGUGAGAAAGUAGAGCAUUUUAAAGAACUUGGUGUCAAUGCAAUCCUGCUAGAGCCAAUAUUUCCCUUUGAUGUUAACAAAGGCCCUUACUUCCCCUAUCAUUUCUUCUCGUUAAUGGAUGAAUAUGGACGUGAACAUAAUGCUGCUUCAGCAAUCAAUUCUUUGAAGGGGAUGAUCAAGACGCUACAUUCCGAAUGUAUAGAGGUCUUGAUGGAGGUUGUUUUUACUCAGUGUUGAAGGUGGAGAUGCGGACUCCCAUGUGAUAUCAUUCCGAGGUAUUGAUAGUUCUUCCUAUUGCAUUGUUGACAAAAAUGUAGGAUCAGGAACCAAUAGUCUCCUGAAAUGCAAUAACCCCAUUGUUCAGCAAUUAAUAAUAGACAGCCUCCGGCAUUGGGUAGUCGAGUUCCAUGUAGAUGGCUUUUGCUUUAUUAAUUCUUCUUCAAUGGCUAGAGGACAGAAUGGGGAUCAUUUAUCUCGCCCACCUUUGGUGGAAGCUAUAGCAUUUGAUCCGGUACUUUCAAGGACAAAGAUUGUCGCAGACUGCUGGUCCCCGCUUGACAUGUCAUACAUGGAAAUCCAAUUUCCUCAUUGGAAAGCAUGGGCAGAGAUGAACAUGAGAUUUUGCAGUGAUGCAAAGAACUUUUUGAGAGGUGAAGGGCUCCUUAGCGAUCUUGCUACUAGACUUUGUGGCAGUGGUGAUCUAUUUUCUUCCGCGGGCCCAGCAUUUUCUUUUAAUUUUGUCGCAAAGAACUUUGGACUUCCUCUUGUUGAUUUGGUCAAAUUCAGCACUGCUGAGCUUGCUUCGGAAUUAAGCUGGAACUGUGGCGACGAAGGUCCAACAAACAAUAAUACUGUCCUUGAGACACGUCUUAAGCAGAUACGGAAUUUCUUGUUUGUCUUGUUUGUGUCACUCGGUGUUCCUGUUCUAAAUAUGGGGGAUGAGUGUGGCUACUCCACUGGUGGUUCUCCAUUGUAUGAUGACAGGAAGCCUAUCAAUUGGGAUAGCCUAGGAACCGGCUUCAGUAAGCAAAUUACAAAAUUUAUUGCAUAUCUGGGUUCACUUAGAAUCCCAAGAGGUGAUAUUUUUCAGAGCAAGCACUUUCUUAAAGUAGAAAACAUUGUUUUGUUUGGAAGUAAUCAAUCUGAGCCAAAAUGGGAUGACCCAACAUGCAAAUUUUUGGCUUUGGCUCUGAAGUCAGAAAAGAACUUUGACAUGUUAAAUUCAAAUGGCGGUGACUUAUUUAUAUGCUUUAAUGCCAGCAAUAAUUUGGAGACUGUUGUUUUGCCCGAACCGACAGAGGGAAAUGUUUGGCUUCGUUUGGUCGAUACCUCCCUUGCAUUACCAGGAUUCUUUUCAAAUAGUUAUGAUCCAAAUGGUCAGAAAGCUGAAGGAUCAUCUUCUUAUGAACUGAAGCCUCAAAGCGGCGUUUUAUUCUGAAAGCUGAUUUUUGUUCACUUCUGC